Molecule: ribosomal RNA, 426 nt
Filed under: Pseudomonadota bacterium
Lineage: Bacteria; Pseudomonadati; Pseudomonadota
Description: Proteobacteria bacterium (sediment metagenome) partial 23S ribosomal RNA
Rfam family: Bacterial large subunit ribosomal RNA
Source: RNAcentral
GACGGGGAGGUUUGGCACCUCGAUGUCGGCUCAUCGCAUCCUGGGGCUGAAUAAGGUCCCAAGGGUUUGGCUGUUCGCCAAUUAAAGCGGUACGUGAGCUGGGUUUAGAACGUCGUGAGACAGUUCGGUCCCUAUCUGCUGUGGGCGCAGGACAUUUGCGGGGAUCUAUCUCCAGUACGAGAGGACCGGGAUGGACGAACCUCUGGUGUUCCAGCUGUUUCGCCAGAAGCAUCGCUGGGUAGCUAAGUUCGGAAUGGAUAACCACUGAAAGCAUCUAAGUGGGAAGCCAACCCCAAGAUAAGAUGUCCCUCCGAGCAAUCGGACUGAAGGCCUCUGGUAGACUACCAGGUUGAUAGGCCGGAUGUGUAAGUCUGGUAACAGGCUUAGCUUACCGGUACUAAUCGGCCGUGCGUCUUGACCAUAUUU